UUGAUUGACGUUUGAUUUUAUAAUUCUGAUACAACUCAUAAUUCUAAUCUAAUAGAAACUCCAAAACCUCAGACAAAGAGGACUAGAAUUUUACAUAAAAAGCCGCGUUCUGCAGUACAAAAGUUAGAAGAGGCAUCUCAAAUAGUGGAAAGUGCCAAACUCCGCAACUCGGUAGUGUUCCAGUGUUUGCAGGAAGAGCACGAAACAAAACAAAGGCAGAUGGCUGAAACACAUGAGCUCAAACAGAAGCAACUUGCCGAAGCUUACGAAAGGGCUAGACAGGAGCAUCUUCUAAGGCUCAAAUUGUUACAGCAGCAAUUAAAUAAAUAAUUAUAUACUUAUAAAAAAAAUAAAACCCCUGUUUUAAAUGAAAUAUAACUUUUUAUUUAUUUUAAGUCCUUAACUAUCCACACCUAUGUAAAUAAAACAGCCUUAAAAAUAUGUUUCAAUAAAAGCAGCUCUAGCAGCUUGUCCAGCCAGAUUGCU
Molecule: long non-coding RNA, 486 nt
Organism: Pieris napi
Lineage: Eukaryota; Metazoa; Arthropoda; Insecta; Lepidoptera; Pieridae
Exons: 3
Source: RefSeq, a predicted model, not a curated record